Long non-coding RNA from Hordeum vulgare subsp. vulgare (domesticated barley), 2113 nucleotides. RefSeq lists it as uncharacterized. The record is from RefSeq and is a predicted model, not a curated record. Lineage: Eukaryota; Viridiplantae; Streptophyta; Magnoliopsida; Poales; Poaceae. The transcript is spliced from 5 exons.
CCCACAGCCCGUCGUUUCUCCCAACCUCUCCCCUCGCUGGAACCAGAUCGGAUCGAGGGUGCCACCAGAUCGAGGGCUGCACCGCCGAGGGCUCCACCGGAUCGAGAGCUGCGCCGCCGGGGGGCUCCACCGGAUCGAGGGCACCACGGAUUGGAUCGAGGGCGCCACCGGACGAAGCAACGACGGAGUCUCUUGACAUCGGCGGAGGCUCGCUCCUGACCUCGACGGCUCCCUCCUCCAACCGCGACGUCGACUCCCUCCUCCUCCUUCAUGGCUCGCUGCUGACCUCGACGAAGGCUCCCUCCUCCAACCGCGACGUUACAUUGUCAUAGGUUCAAUAUGACGCAAAAUAGGGCUAAGUGGACAUCAAGAUAUGAGAAAGGUCUUGUCGAGAUACUUAGAGAGUACAAUCUAUCUCAUUAUCGUGGCCAAAAUGGGUGGACUACUGAAGGAUGGAAUCAAGUUGUUAAAUAAUUGAACAAUUUAUAUCCAGAGGCAAGAUUUACCAAGGAUCAGGUCCAGGAUAAGGAAGCUCAACUGAAGAAGCACUACAAAAAUAUCAAGUCCAUAGUCAACCAUUCUGGAAUAUCGUGGAAUGAUAUUGCAUGUGUGAUUAACACAACACCUCAAAAAUGGGAGGAGAUCAUUGCGGAGGAUUCAAAGCUCAAAAUGUAUGAAGGCAAAAGUUUCCCCUUGUAUGAGGCAUUGGGUGUGCUCUAUGAAGGGCACAAUGCUCAAGAAAGGCAUUGUCUCACAUCAAGGAAGCCUCCGACUAUCACAAAAUCAGGUAGCAACUUUGGAGCAAAGGAGAAGAUGGUUGCCAGCACCAGCAAGAGAAAUACAAGAGAUCGAAGCGAUGACACCAUGAGGACUCCUUCGAUAAUUGACAUCAAUUAUGUUCCUGCAUGUGAUGAUGCUGAUGGAUAUGCUGAAAGAGAAAACACUGUCCGUGACGAGGAAGAAUUUGGCAGUGAAGAUGCUGAUGGAGAUCAUCCACAAAUAAGUAAAUCAAGUGCCAAAGGAAGGAAACCCAAAAAACAGAAAAGUGCCACAUCUGUACAACGCCUUGAAGAUUCAAUGACGGUGUAUGUGAAUUUCAAGAAAGAGCAAGCUACUAAGAAGGAGAGAGUGUCACAACAAGGAAAACAACCCUCAAUUACAGAAUGCUUGGAAAUCUUGAAUGACAUGGAAGAUGUGCCCGACGAGGUGAAAAUCUUUGCCUCUGAUGUUUUCAAAGAUGCAGCAAACCGUGAGAUUUUCCUGGGUUACAACCCAAGACUGCGGGGGUAUGUGGUUAAAGAAGGAAGUCGAUAAGAUCAGUCCUCAGCCUCCUCCUUCUCGGUUUUCACCUGGCGAUAUUCCUUCAAUCAAUCUGGUGCUCUGAUCAUAGGUAUUGCCCUUGCUCCCUCCCCUCUCAAAGAUUCAUUUCAACAAACAAGAGUAGUACCAUGCAUACAGUUCCUUUAAUAAUAAUAGUUGUGCUGCCUGAUUGUUAAUCCUGGAUUGCAUUUUUUUUUCAAACAAGGUAUAUCCUGGGUUGUAUUCUUAUUCUUCUUCUUUUAUUUUCCGUUGAGUUGGCAUCCUGGGUUAUAUUGAAAUACUACUACUUGGCCGAAAUGAUCAAUGUUGGCGUUAUAAUGUCCUGCCCGUCGUUGAGGUUUUUUGACAGUGAAUGAGGUUGGAUUGGUCUUGCCAGAUGCUUGUUUGAAUCCUGUACAUUUUGAAAUGCAUCUAUGUUCAUAUUUGCCAUACGGUUUUGUGGUACGAUAAAUUGUGAUAUCAGAUUGUGACACUAUAAUCUGUUAUUUGCACAUGAAGCUACUCCAAAGACUGCCAAAACUUUGAGUCAGAUCUUACGGAGGGAGUAUUUUUCUUCUGCCCUGAAGCUGCUUCACUACUUGAACAAUUGCCGAGGAUUAAUCUUCCUAAAAUACUUUAUGUCUAAAUGAACAAUGGUUGAACAAUUACGAGUCCUAACUUUGGUUAUGUAGCAGCAGGCGAGAUGAGACAAGCCUGCUUCAAUAAAUUUGUAAUUUAAACUGUUGAUUUUGAGCACUAUGAGUUAUCAAAACUAUGUUCAAAUGGAUGAAUGGAAAACAUUAUCUUUUUUUUA